UCAGAGUCUUCAGGAUGCAGUCUGGACUCUCCAGAAAACCACUCAGAUGUUUCACUCCUGAAUCCUUCAGGUUGUUUCCACUCAGGUCCAGAUGUUCCAGAUGGGAGGGGUUGGACUUCAGAGCUGAGACCAGAGAAUCACAGCUGAUCUCUGACAAACUGCAUCUCCACAAUCUGAAUAAAGAAUAAAAGAUGUGUAUAAAAUCAUUGAUGAUCCAUCAGAUGUGUUCAGGUUCUGAAUGUGCAGAUCAACAUUACUUUGUCCUCAUCAAUCAGCUUUUCUCUAAAAGCAGCAGAGUGACUUUGUCCUUCUCUUAUUGUGGAUCAUCAUCAUGUCAGCCUUCUACACACAUCAUCCACAUGUCAGCACAACAUUCAUCCACCUAUUCAUGUCCACACAUCAAUAACAUGCUGCAUCAUCAACAGGAUCAGGAUCAGUCAAAGAAAACUCAACUCAACACAAACCAAAGAAAUAUUUCUACUUCAGUCAGUAAACUUUGUAUAAACUGAUCUGAGUUCAGAGGAUCUUCUGGAUCCAGAUGUGACUCUUUAGUGCAAAUUACAAACAUUCAUUUAUUUUAACAACUAACACUGAAUAUUUUCUAAUUUUUUCUGCAGAAAGGACGGAACUUUUGUCACAAGAAACUGAUUUAUCAUAGAAAAUAUGAACCAGAGCAGAUUUACAGCUUCAUGGAUGGAAGUUCUGUUGAACAUAAAUGAGCUUCAGUUGUCAUUAAACACAUCAGAUCUACAACAGUAACAGACAGACAGUGAACUGACCUCAGAGUCUUCAGGAUGCAGUCUGGACUCUCCAGAAAACCACUCAGAUGUUUCACUCCUGAAUCCUGCAGGUUGUUUCCACUCAGGUCCAGAUGUUCCAGAUGGGAGGGGUUGGACUUCAGAGCUGAGACCAGAGAAUCACAGCUGAUCUCUGACAAACUGCAGUACUCCAAUCU
This is a long non-coding RNA of Acanthochromis polyacanthus (spiny chromis), 955 nucleotides long. RefSeq lists it as uncharacterized. The transcript is spliced from 3 exons. The record is from RefSeq and is a predicted model, not a curated record. Lineage: Eukaryota; Metazoa; Chordata; Actinopteri; Pomacentridae.